Molecule: long non-coding RNA, 745 nt
Filed under: Dermacentor andersoni
Lineage: Eukaryota; Metazoa; Arthropoda; Arachnida; Ixodida; Ixodidae
Description: uncharacterized LOC126543137
Source: RNAcentral
CGCAGCUGUCAAAAGCGAAUUGGAUCCCGCGUGUGCUCUUGCCAACAUGAAAUCUAGCAUGAAGAUCUCCGUGUGCUUUUUUGUAACCAUUUUCGGCCUGCAGAUUAGCGCCAAUGAACUGCCCGAGAUCUGCACAAGUCCACGCAUGCUGCCAACGUGCACAGGUAACCUCUUUAGGGUCUAUUACUACGAUUCGGAGACUGAACAGUGCCUACCUGAAGAUACUUGCGUUGCUGGAGACAGCUUCAAGACAUUAAGAGAGUGCCAAGAAACAUGUGUCAAAAAAAAAGGAAAGAAUGUCCCUGUUGUCAAAGCAAUGCCGUUGUUUCUACAUAAGAACUUUCAUGCCAAACCUCCAAGCUAUGAAGGUUUCUACACGCAUCCAUACAUAAACCCCUAUAUAUCAUGGCCGGCCCCUGUAAGGUAUCCGUUCUUCUAUUGAGCAGUCUUUACCGCAUCAAAAGACCACAUAUAAGGUUUUAUCGCUGUGGGUGCUAUUAUUCUACGGAUAUAUUCGCAUCCUGCAUAUCCCGACAGAAUCAAUAAAACUUUUUUGAACACCUGCAUAAAGACUGGAUUCGGCGAGCGCAGGAAUAUUUAAUUUGCGUUUUAAGUAUAUCACAUCUCUUUAGUGACUUUUGUUAAGGGCGCUGCCAUUACCCCGACCGUGACCGGCUUGGAGAAACUAUCAAACCACGUACUGCAGCUCCAAUUAUGACACAUUAAAAUUUAGUCUUAUUUUUUU